Molecule: ribosomal RNA, 253 nt
Filed under: uncultured bacterium
Lineage: Bacteria
Description: partial 16S ribosomal RNA
Rfam family: Bacterial small subunit ribosomal RNA
Source: RNAcentral
UACGGAGGGUGCAAGCGUUGUUCGGAAUCAUUGGGCGUAAAGGGCGCGUAGGCGGCCUUCUAAGUCGAACGUGAAAUCCCCGGGCUCAACCCGGGAACUGCGUCCGAUACUGGAAGGCUUGAAUCCGGGAGAGGGAUGCGGAAUUCCAGGUGUAGCGGUGAAAUGCGUAGAUAUCUGGAGGAACACCGGUGGCGAAGGCGGCAUCCUGGACCGGCAUUGACGCUGAGGCGCGAAAGCCAGGGGAGCAAACGGG